GAUGAACGCUGGCGGCGUGCCUAAUACAUGCAAGUCGAGCGAACGGACGAGAAGCUUGCUUUUCUGAUGUUAGCGGCGGACGGGUGAGUAACACGUGGAUAACCUACCUAUAAGACUGGGAUAACUUCGGGAAACCGGAGCUAAUACCGGAUAAUAUUUUGAACCGCAUGGUUCAAAAGUGAAAGACGGUCUUGCUGUCACUUAUAGAUGGAUCCGCGCUGCAUUAGCUAGUUGGUAAGGUAACGGCUUACCAAGGCAACGAUGCAUAGCCGACCUGAGAGGGUGAUCGCCCACACGGGAACUGAGACACGGUCCAGACUCCUACGGGAGGCAGCAGUAGGGAAUCUUCCGCAAUGGGCGAAAGCCUGACGGAGCAACGCCGCGUGAGUGAUGAAGGUCUUCGGAUCGUAAAACUCUGUUAUUAGGGAAGAACAUAUGUGUAAGUAACUGUGCACAUCUUGACGGUACCUAAUCAGAAAGCCACGGCUAACUACGUG
RNAcentral lists this ribosomal RNA (497 nucleotides) under uncultured bacterium. RNAcentral describes it as "partial 16S ribosomal RNA". It matches the Rfam family "Bacterial small subunit ribosomal RNA", at positions 28 to 507 of the family's 1533-position model. The record is from RNAcentral.